RNAcentral lists this ribosomal RNA (721 nucleotides) under Bacillus sp. B04(2012). RNAcentral describes it as "bacterial SSU rRNA". It matches the Rfam family "Bacterial small subunit ribosomal RNA", at positions 386 to 1098 of the family's 1533-position model. Lineage: Bacteria; Bacillati; Bacillota; Bacilli; Caryophanales; Bacillaceae. The record is from RNAcentral.
ACGGAGCCCGCCGCGUGAGUGAUGAAGGCUUUCGGGUCGUAAAACUCUGUUGUUAGGGAAGAACAAGUGCUAGUUGAAUAAGCUGGCACCUUGACGGUACCUAACCAGAAAGCCACGGCUAACUACGUGCCAGCAGCCGCGGUAAUACGUAGGUGGCAAGCGUUAUCCGGAAUUAUUGGGCGUAAAGCGCGCGCAGGUGGUUUCUUAAGUCUGAUGUGAAAGCCCACGGCUCAACCGGGGAGGGUCAUUGGAAACUGGGAGACUUGAGUGCAGAAGAGGAAAGUGGAAUUCCAUGUGUAGCGGUGAAAUGCGUAAAGAUAUGGAGGAACACCAGUGGCGAAGGCGACUUUCUGGUCUGUAACUGACACUGAGGCGCGAAAGCGUGGGGAGCAAACAGGAUUAAAUACCCUGGUAGUCCACGCCGUAAACGAUGAGUGCUAAUUGUUAGAGGGUUUCCGCCCUUUAGUGCUGAAGUUAACGCAUUAAGCACUCCGCCUGGGGAGUACGGCCGCAAGGCUGAAACUCAGAGGAAUUGACGGGGGCCCGCACAAGCGGUGGAGCAUGUGGUUUAAUUCGAAGCAACGCGAAGAACCUUACCAGGUCUUGACAUCCUCUGACAACCCUAAAGAUAGGGCUUCUCCUUCAGGAGCAGAGUGACAGGUGGUGCAUGGUUGUCGUCAGCUCGUGUCGGGAGAUGUUGGGUUAAGUCCCGCAACGAGCG